CAAGAAGUAUAAUCACGAGGCUGC
RNAcentral lists this non-coding RNA (24 nucleotides) under Arabidopsis thaliana (thale cress). The record is from RNAcentral. Lineage: Eukaryota; Viridiplantae; Streptophyta; Magnoliopsida; Brassicales; Brassicaceae.